GUGUUGUGUUUUUGUAUUUUGUUUUUGUUUUUUGUGCCCCAUUUGAAUUAUGACCAUUUAUGGAAUUCUGGUGCAAAUAAUCAUCGUCUGCAAUUAGUAUUCGACACUUGAAAGAAAUCAACAAAAAAAAUAAAAAUAAAAUAGAGUAAAAUUGAAAUAAAAUUGUAGAAGACAACUCGAUCGCAAUGGCGCCGCCCACUGAACAGCCGGAGGAUGACUUUGUGACGAAGAUACCUUCAAUAAUUGGAUUCUUGAACUUGGACUAAUUGGCAAUUGAACUUCAGGCCGUGGACGUGGACUGAAUGCAUCAUAAAUUAAUUAAUUAAGGCUGAAUAUGGGCGGAAUCAUAAACCACAAGAAUUAUGCCGACGCUACAAAGUUUUAGUUGUUAAGUGCAUAAAUUUUGUUGCAAAAUAAAUGCGAUGAGUUAAUAAUUAAAA
Long non-coding RNA from Drosophila grimshawi, 440 nucleotides. RefSeq lists it as uncharacterized. The transcript is spliced from 2 exons. Lineage: Eukaryota; Metazoa; Arthropoda; Insecta; Diptera; Drosophilidae. The record is from RefSeq and is a predicted model, not a curated record.